This 24-nucleotide microRNA is filed under the name Gossypium hirsutum (cotton). RNAcentral's name for it is "ghr-miR7500". Lineage: Eukaryota; Viridiplantae; Streptophyta; Magnoliopsida; Malvales; Malvaceae. The record is from miRBase by way of RNAcentral.
AUCGAGUUAUUCGAGUUAAUCGAG